CGGGGUGCACCAGGCGCGAAACCUUUACACUGCACGAACGUGCGAUAAGGGGACUCCAAGUGCGAGGGCAUACAGUCCUCGCUUUUUCCUACCGUAAGGAGGUAGGCGAAUAAGAGCUGGGCAAGACCGGUGCCAGCCGCCGCGGUAAUACCGGCAGCUCGAGUGACGGCCACUAUUAUUGGGCCUAAAGCGUCCGUAGCUGGCCGAACAGGUCUGUCGGGAAAUCCGCUCGCUCAACGAGCGGACGUCCGGCGGAAACCAGUCGGCUUGGGACCGGAGGACCCGAGGGGUACGUCCGGGGUAGGAGUGAAAUCCUGUAAUCCUGGACGGACCACCGGUGGCGAAAGCGCCUCGGGAGGACGGAUCCGACAGUGAGGGACGAAAGCUUGGGUCACGAACCGGAUUAGAUACCCGGGUAGUCCAAGCUGUAAACGAUGCUCGCUAGGUGUGGCACUGGCUACGAGCCAGUGCUGUGCCGUAGGGAAGCCGAGAAGCGAGCCGCCUGGGAAGUACGUCCGCAAGGAUGAAACUUAAAGGAAUUGGCGGGGGAGCACUACAACCGGAGGAGCCUGCGGUUUAAUUGGACUCAACGCCGGACAUCUCACCAGCACCGACAGUGUGCGAUGAAGAUCAGUGUGAUGAGCUUAUUGGAGUCACUGAGAGGAGGUGCAUGGCCGCCGUCAGCUCGUACCGUGAGGCGUCCUGUUAAGUCAGGCAACGAGCGAGACCCCC
RNAcentral lists this ribosomal RNA (732 nucleotides) under uncultured archaeon. RNAcentral's name for it is "bacterial SSU rRNA". It matches the Rfam family "Archaeal small subunit ribosomal RNA", at positions 326 to 1055 of the family's 1478-position model. The record is from RNAcentral.